CGUAGAAGAAUCGCGAAGCUCCACCGCUUGGACCUGAAAAACAAAACAAAAAACAGUUCCCCAUCCCUGCCCGCCCGCAUCCUCUUCUCCCCUCCGUGCAGCCAUGGCUCCACGCUUUUCUCCUCCUCCCCAACCUCUCCCUGCCGUCCCACGCUCUGGCGCCCUCCUCGCUGCCACCCAAGGCUCAAUACCCGUCAACCGCGCGCGCCGCCGCUAGGAGCCUCACGUCCGCGCUCCAGCCGGAGGAGCUCCUGGUCCUUCACGCGGCCCGGAGGAGGCCGUACAUGGGCAGGCUCGCCAUGGACGAGAAUUGGAGGGUAAUUUGGAGACCAGCGCGGCUGGGAGGGGUGGGCGCGGUCCGAGUUGAGGGGCGGCGCUGCGGCACCGGCCGGAUCAUGGAUCGGAGGUUAUAGCCAAACACCGGGGCCGGAGGUAGCCGGCAGCAGGCGGCGCUGCUUGGGCGACGAGGUAGAGGAGGCGGGGAACAGCGUCCGGCGUCGAGGUCGGCCAGGGCCUGGCCGGUUGAAGCUUCUGGCGAGGUGCUGCUGGUAUGGUCGAGGACGGUUCCACCUCGGUAGGUGGACGCCCGAGGCAGCUAUGAUCGUGGCACGCCUUCCUCUCUCUCCCGAGGCGGCUGAUGAUGUGGAGGAGAAGCUCAGUAGGCCUGCUCUCUUCUCUUGCAGGAUCUCUUCCCCAACUCCAUGGCAAGCGGCAGUACCGGCGUCUAGCCGUCGACGCAUCCCCGGCUCCGUCGCGACCGGCGGCGGCCGCGUCUAGACGACAUCAGCGGGAUGCGGUGCAAGCGAUGGUGGCGGCUGGCGGCGGCAGGUUCAAGGUCGCGGGGCAGGGCAAGCAUCCGUCGAGGAAAAAGAGGCAACGCCUGAAUUAGGAGAGGAGAAUAGCAGGCGAACCUGCCUAGGAAUCGGAGUGGCUGCACGUCGGCUAGCAGCAGAAGGAUGGACUACGAUUCGUGCUUCCGGUCCUCCUAUCCAUCCAUCUCUCUCUCUCCUCCCUCUGUUUCUCUCUUGCUUUCCAGCGCCCGUGCGUCCUGCUACAGGCUUCAUCAGAUCUUCCCUUCUUUCUGUAGCACCGCCGCUGUACAUUUCUUCUUCCCAGCAUUGAGGAGAACGACCUGGAGCCUACCAUGCCCCGGAUGUGGUCAGCUUUGAGAUCAGCAAACACUAGGUUCUCAUGUUCUUUUGUUUUCUGACCCGGAUACAACGAUCGGGUCCUCCUUAGUUUACCCUUUCAUCCCGUUUCCCUCCUACCACUAGCUACAGAAGACAAGUCAACCCUAUAAGAGUAUACUGAGCUAUGACGAGAAAAUGGUGCUGCAAUUGUUGGGCUAGCUUGCCUCAUGAAUUGUUUUGGAAUUUGAUUGAAAGGUUGGACUUUGCUGGUGUGCUUUGGUUGGUUAUUUAGCACUCUUUGAUAUAGAUGCUGCUGCAACACAAACUUCAGAUUCUACAAUGAACGGUGAUAUGCUCUCAGUCCAACUAAGAAAUUACCCUUGAAUAAUAUUUUCUCAUAUUGUUCAUGUUUUAUGGUGUAAACUACAGGAUAAUGAAUCAGCAGUUACCGCCGGAAAGUUUGAUGAUGUGUUAGAUACUAUAGGAGUACCUGAAUCUGAAAGAAUCGGUAUUAAUCUUCUGAGGAGAGGUGGACAUUAUAUGGCCGUUCAGGAAGAAGCAGCUGCACCAGCAGAUAGAUACGGAUUACUUGUGGGACUUCCUGCUGCUACUACUGCUUUACUAAACGAGCAGAUGCACUAUCGUUGUUACCAUGGAAUAGGUAUACAGCUUACUCAUUCCACGGUUCCUUUUUCUGGCAGCUGUCCUUUUUAUGUGCCACUGCCAUCACUAGAGAAGAUUUUUCCGUGGAGAAGAAGGAAAUUAAAACUUCGAAGAAGCCUGCACUAUUCAGAUUGUUUUUCAUAAUAGAGCAUAUCUGAAUAGCCUAUACAAAUAGUGAGUGUAACUGCUCACUUGAGAGCGUAUCUAUGAGCUGAGCCUCAUGCUCUUCCUUCUUCGUGAUCAUGUCGUUCUGUGCUUGAAAAGAUGUUCAUCUGGAGUUUUCUGAUGCUGAUGAGUUGGAUCAAGUCUGGCCUUUAAAAAAUAUCUGUAGUGUUGUUCGAUCGGUUUGGUUUCCUGGGAGGAAAUAUUUCUGUAGCUUCUUCUUACUUUCUUUUGGUCAGAUAUCUUUGGUGGGCAUACGUUUUGUUAGAUGUUGCCUUCUGGCUGAGACAUUGUAGCUGGUUUCUUUUAAUGGAAAUCGGGGGGAUGAUCUCUUUUCAUCAAAAAAAAAAAAAAAAUCCCCAAUAGCA
This is a non-coding RNA of Lolium perenne, 2323 nucleotides long. The record is from RefSeq and is a predicted model, not a curated record. NCBI's taxonomy places the organism in Eukaryota, Viridiplantae, Streptophyta, Magnoliopsida, Poales, Poaceae.